ACACCUACAGAUUCGACCCUUUUCCGGUACUCGUGGGGACAGCUUUUGGUUACUCGCACGGAGUCUACCUUUUCCCGGUACACGCCCGGAUUCUAUCAUUUUUCGGUACUCCUGCAGAUUCGACCCUUUUCCGGUACUCGUGGGGACAGCUUUUGGUUACUCGCACGGAUUCUACCUUCUCCCGGUACACCCCCGGAUUCUACCAUUUUUCGG
RNAcentral lists this long non-coding RNA (213 nucleotides) under Vitis vinifera (wine grape). RNAcentral describes it as "long non-coding RNA (VVIN_LNC007583)". The record is from RNAcentral. Lineage: Eukaryota; Viridiplantae; Streptophyta; Magnoliopsida; Vitales; Vitaceae.